AGGGAUGGCAAUGGGCCGGAUCUGGACCGGAUCCUGCUUGGUCCAGAUCCAGAUCCGAAUUUUUUUACUUAGGUCCAGAUCCGGUCCAGAUCCAUUGGAUCCAAAAAAUUAAGAUCCAGACCCAGAUCCAUUAGAUCCAUAGGGUAUCGGGUCCAGAUCCAGAUCCAUACUUUUUACUCUUUUCAAACAUUUAUAAAUUUUAAAUUAACUAAAAAAAAUCAAAUUUUGUCUAGAGUAUCAACAAUUAUUUAAAAAUAAAUAUUAAAUCAUAACAUAUAUAAAAAUAUUAGUAUAAAAUUUCAAGUACUAAAUAAUAUAUUAGUAGAUACACACUUAUUUUAAUUGUAUAUAUAAAAAAGGAUGAAAAAUUAAUUAUCAUAUCAUUACAAUCAAUUUUAUCUCUAUCUUCAUCACAAUAUUCAGUAACAGUGGAACAAUGUGUCUUCCAUUUUUACAUUGAAAAGAAAAAAAACAAUAUUAUCAAUAUAAAUAAAAGAUAUAAUAAUAAUAAUAAUAAUAAUAAUAAUAAUAAUAAUAAUAAUAAUAAUAAUAAUAAUAAUAAUAAUAAUAAUAAUAAUAAUAAUAAUAAUAACUAACAACAACAACAACAACUAAAAUUUAAAUUAAGAUAAAAUAAAAUAUUAUUUUUAAUAGAAUUAUAUACAUUAUUUAUGAAAAUAGAUGUUUAGAUUAGUAAUAGAUCUUUAAGGUAGAGUUUGAUAAAAAUAAAAUAAAAUAUAUAUUUUUUAUAUAUAACCGGAUCCGUGGGCCGGAUCUGGGUCUCAAAACUUUUGCUCCAGAUCCAGAUCCGUAAAUCUUAAGAGUAAUCCA
This 831-nucleotide long non-coding RNA is filed under the name Salvia miltiorrhiza (redroot sage). Its description in RNAcentral is "long non-coding RNA (SMIL_LNC003852)". The record is from RNAcentral. Lineage: Eukaryota; Viridiplantae; Streptophyta; Magnoliopsida; Lamiales; Lamiaceae.